This 253-nucleotide ribosomal RNA is filed under the name uncultured bacterium. Its description in RNAcentral is "partial 16S ribosomal RNA". It matches the Rfam family "Bacterial small subunit ribosomal RNA", at positions 524 to 776 of the family's 1533-position model. The record is from RNAcentral.
UACGAAGGGGGCUAGCGUUGCUCGGAAUUACUGGGCGUAAAGGGCGCGUAGGCGGGAUGGCAAGUCGGUCGUGAAAUCCCUCGGCUCAACCGAGGAACGUCGAUCGAUACUGCUGUUCUUGAGGAUUGCAGAGGAGACUGGAAUUCCCGGUGUAGCGGUGAAAUGUGUAGAGAUCGGGAGGAACACCGGUGGCGAAGGCGGGUCUCUGGGCAAUUCCUGACGCUGAGGCGCGAAAGCGUGGGGAGCAAACGGG